AUUGAACGCUGGCGGCAUGCCUUACACAUGCAAGUCGAACGGUAACGGGCCUUCGGGUGCCGACGAGUGGCGAACGGGUGAGUAAUACAUCGGAUCGUGCCCGAUCGUGGGGGAUAACGAGGCGAAAGCUUUGCUAAUACCGCAUACGAUCUACGGAUGAAAGCAGGGGACCGCAAGGCCUUGCGCGGACGGAGCGGCCGAUGGCAGAUUAGGUAGUUGGUGGGAUAAAAGCUUACCAAGCCGACGAUCUGUAGCUGGUCUGAGAGGAUGAUCAGCCACACUGGGACUGAGACACGGCCCAGACUCCUACGGGAGGCAGCAGUGGGGAAUUUUGGACAAUGGGCGCAAGCCUGAUCCAGCCAUGCCGCGUGCAGGAUGAAGGCCUUCGGGUUGUAAACUGCUUUUGUACGGAACGAAAAGCCUUCUUUUAAUACAGGAGGGUCAUGACGGUACCGUAAGAAUAAGCACCGGCUAACUACGUG
Molecule: ribosomal RNA, 482 nt
Filed under: uncultured bacterium
Lineage: Bacteria
Description: partial 16S ribosomal RNA
Rfam family: Bacterial small subunit ribosomal RNA
Source: RNAcentral